GAUGAACGCUGGCGGCGUGCCUAAUACAUGCAAGUCGAGCGAACGGACGAGAAGCUUGCUUUUCUGAUGUUAGCGGCGGACGGGUGAGUAACACGUGGAUAACCUACCUAUAAGACUGGGAUAACUUCGGGAAACCGGAGCUAAUACCGGAUAAUAUUUUGAACCGCAUUGUUCAAAAGUGAAAGACGGGCUUGCUGUCACUUAUAGAUGGAUCCGCGCUGCAUUAGCUAGUUGGUAAGGUAACGGCUUACCAAGGCAACGAUGCAUAGCCGACCUGAGAGGGUGAUCGGCCACACUGGAACUGAGACACGGUCCAGACUCCUACGGGAGGCAGCAGUAGGGAAUCUUCCGCAAUGGGCGAAAGCCUGACGGAGCAACGCCGCGUGAGUGAUGAAGGUCUUCGGAUCGUAAAACUCUGUUAUUAGGGAAGAACAUAUGUGUAAGUAACUGUGCACAUCUUGACGGUACCUAAUCAGAAAGCCACGGCUAACUACGUG
Molecule: ribosomal RNA, 497 nt
Filed under: uncultured bacterium
Lineage: Bacteria
Description: partial 16S ribosomal RNA
Rfam family: Bacterial small subunit ribosomal RNA
Source: RNAcentral